GAUCGCGUAGCUCAGUCGGCAGAGCAGCCGCCUUUUAAGCGGCAGGUCCUGGGUUCGAGUCCCAGCGCGAUCA
RNAcentral lists this transfer RNA (73 nucleotides) under Phycisphaerales bacterium. RNAcentral describes it as "tRNA-Lys". It matches the Rfam family "tRNA". From Rfam's summary of the family: Transfer RNA (tRNA) molecules are approximately 80 nucleotides in length. Their secondary structure includes four short double-helical elements and three loops (D, anti-codon, and T loops). Lineage: Bacteria; Pseudomonadati; Planctomycetota; Phycisphaerae; Phycisphaerales. The record is from RNAcentral.